RNAcentral lists this microRNA (19 nucleotides) under Pan troglodytes (chimpanzee). RNAcentral's name for it is "ptr-miR-6134". The record is from miRBase by way of RNAcentral. RNAcentral also lists the same sequence under 1 other name. Lineage: Eukaryota; Metazoa; Chordata; Mammalia; Primates; Hominidae.
UGAGGUGGUAGGAUGUAGA